AUCGACGAGUUUGAUCAUGGCUCAGGAUGAACGCUAGCGGCAGGCCUAAUACAUGCAAGUCAAGGGGAUAGCAAUAUCACCGGCGGACGGGUGCGUAACGCGUACACAACGUGCCCAAGGGCGGAGGAAAGCGGCGGGAAACUGCCGGUAAUACUCCAUGGUGUUGUUGAGUGGCAUCACUUAACAACUAAAGUACAAGCGCCCUUGGAUCGGUGUGCGUUCGAUUAGCUAGUUGGCGGGGUAACGGCCCACCAAGGCUUCGAUCGAUAGGGGGUGUGAGAGCAUGACCCCCCCACACGGGUACUGAGACGCGGACCCGACUCCUACGGGAGGCAGCAGUAAGGAAUAUUGGACAAUGGGCGGAAGCCUGAUCCAGCCAUGCCGCGUGAAGGACGAAGGCGCUCAGCGUUGUAAACUUCUUUUGGAUGGGAACAAUAACUCCGACUUGUCGGAACUUGAGGGUACCAUCAGAAUAAGCACCGGCUAACUCCGUG
RNAcentral lists this ribosomal RNA (494 nucleotides) under uncultured bacterium. RNAcentral describes it as "bacterial SSU rRNA". It matches the Rfam family "Bacterial small subunit ribosomal RNA", at positions 1 to 507 of the family's 1533-position model. The record is from RNAcentral.